Molecule: ribosomal RNA, 253 nt
Filed under: uncultured bacterium
Lineage: Bacteria
Description: partial 16S ribosomal RNA
Rfam family: Bacterial small subunit ribosomal RNA
Source: RNAcentral
UACAGAGGGUGCGAGCGUUAAUCGGAAUUACUGGGCGUAAAGCGUGCGCAGGCGGUUCGUUAAGUUCGAUGUGAAAGCCCCGGGCUCAACCUGGGAACUGCAUUGGAAACUGGCGAGCUUGAGUAUGGCAGAGGGGGGUGGAAUUCCGCGUGUAGCAGUGAAAUGCGUAGAUAUGCGGAGGAACACCGAUGGCGAAGGCAAUCCCCUGGGCCUGCACUGACGCUCAUGCACGAAAGCGUGGGGAGCAAACAGG